UAGAGCUUGAUCAUGGCUCAGAUUGAACGCUGGCGGCAGGCCUAACACAUGCAAGUCGAGCGGCAGCACAAGGGAGUUUACUUCUGAGGUGGCGAGCGGCGGACGGGUGAGUAAUGCCUAGGGAUCUGCCCAGUCGAGGGGGAUAACAGUUGGAAACGACUGCUAAUACCGCAUACGCCCUACGGGGGAAAGGAGGGGACCUUCGGGCCUUCCGCGAUUGGAUGAACCUAGGUGGGAUUAGCUAGUUGGUGAGGUAAUGGCUCACCAAGGCGACGAUCCCUAGCUGUUCUGAGAGGAUGAUCAGCCACACUGGGACUGAGACACGGCCCAGACUCCUACGGGAGGCAGCAGUGGGGAAUAUUGCACAAUGGGGGAAACCCUGAUGCAGCCAUGCCGCGUGUGUGAAGAAGGCCUUCGGGUUGUAAAGCACUUUCAGUAGGGAGGAAAGGGUGUAGUUUAAUACGCUAUAUCUGUGACGUACCUACAGA
RNAcentral lists this ribosomal RNA (488 nucleotides) under Shewanella sp. 01WB02.4-15. RNAcentral's name for it is "bacterial SSU rRNA". It matches the Rfam family "Bacterial small subunit ribosomal RNA", at positions 1 to 485 of the family's 1533-position model. The record is from RNAcentral. Lineage: Bacteria; Pseudomonadati; Pseudomonadota; Gammaproteobacteria; Alteromonadales; Shewanellaceae.